Molecule: long non-coding RNA, 1494 nt
Organism: Lactuca sativa (garden lettuce)
Lineage: Eukaryota; Viridiplantae; Streptophyta; Magnoliopsida; Asterales; Asteraceae
Source: RefSeq, a predicted model, not a curated record
CCUUUUAUCUCCCACCGCUUCUUUAUCUCGAUCCUUCCACAUGGUUUCUCUUUAGAAGCGAUUGAGCACCGCCCCAGUUAGUUUAACCCUCCACCAUCUAUAUUUCAUUUUUUUCUGUGACGCCCUCCAUCACAUAAUCGUCUGCUUCGCCACAGUGUCACCACCAUCAAAGAACGACCACCCCCACUACCCUAAACUACGCCGUCCAACACUAUCAUCCCCCUUUCCUCCUCUCCGAUCCACACUCCCUACGCUCCUUCAUUUCUAGGGUUUUCAUCGUUGUCAUAGGGAUGGUGAGAUGUAAAACCUACUGAUUCCCCAGUCGUCGCCGUUUUCCAUGAUUUGGUGGUUUGGCGCUAUGAGCAACUUCUCAAAAUUUGGAACUAAAUCGACCCCACAAGGGUUCUUGCUACCCCUCUCAAGGAGCAGUAUGUCAAAUUUAGGUUGCAAGUUCCCGACGACGACGAUUCUACUAAUUCAAAGGGGAGGCGGCCACGAAGCUGAUGAACAAGAAGAAAUACUCUUCAAUGUUACCUUCAACUUCUAAUCUCUUUUAUUUUUUCUCUUCUUUACGAAAAGGUAACAUCCUAAUUACUCUUUACACUACCCAAAUUCAUCAGUCAUAUUCACCCAACGUUGUUUCUGGACUUCAGUCCACUCAAUUGAAGGAAACAUAGUUGAUUUCUGACAAAAAUGAAGUCAACCCAUGUGAGAAUUCCAAGUUUUGUGAAACAGGUCAGAUAAGUUACACCACUUACAACCUGGGACUUCUCAAUCCCUACAUUUGACUUCGCUUAUCUAAUAAGUCCAAAUUUCAGAUUUUUUUGAGCGGCUGCGUAUGUACAAAUGAACGCUUAUAGGUGUAUGUGUGUUUGGAGGAUCCUUUGAUUCUUUCAUAACUGGAAAUGGCAAAAGGAUUUGCAGUCAUUUGACAUGUGCUUUGUGUACAAGAAAAUAAGCUAAUCAUUAUCAUUUCUUUUUGUUUUUUGGUCAGGAUACAAAAAAAGCUAUGCGUGCUCUGGAUUUUAGGGGGUAGUUUCAGCCUUUCAGUUUCCCUGGUAAAGCACAUUAGUAGAAGUUGCUAUUGCCAAUGGAGUUACCAAGGAAAUUGGUGAUGACGAGGACAAUGACCUAGAUCUCUUUGGUGACGAGACGGAUGAGGAAAAGAAGGCAGUUGAAGCACAUGAUCAAGCAAAAGCAUCAACAAAGAAAAAAGAAUGAUAUUGGGUGCGAUUGAGAAAAACAAGUAAUUUGAGGACUUCACAGGUUUCUUUAAACUCUGAUAUUUGGGUAUUUUCUCAGAAAACGUGGAUCUAUGCAUUAAGAUAUAUAUCAACUACUAAAUAUUUUCCUACUUUCAGAUCUAUCUAUGAGAUGUGGUUGCUUUUUGUGUGGACUUCUUUGAUUACGAUAUAGGAAUUAAAUGUCUACAUCCCUUGGAUCAUUUCCACAACACAACAAUGAAGUAAUAGAGUAAAUCAAUUUUUAUGGAAA